UGGGGAAUUUUGGACAAUGGGCGCAAGCCUGAUCCAGCCAUGCCGCGUGUCUGAAGAAGGCCUUCGGGUUGUAAAGGACUUUUGUCAGGGAAGAAAAGGACAGGGUUAAUACCCCUGUCUGAUGACGGUACCUGAAGAAUAAGCACCGGCUAACUACGUGCCAGCAGCCGCGGUAAUACGUAGGGUGCGAGCGUUAAUCGGAAUUACUGGGCGUAAAGCGAGCGCAGACGGUUACUUAAGCAGGAUGUGAAAUCCCCGGGCUCAACCUGGGAACUGCGUUCUGAACUGGGUGACUAGAGUGUGUCAGAGGGAGGUAGAAUUCCACGUGUAGCAGUGAAAUGCGUAGAGAUGUGGAGGAAUACCGAUGGCGAAGGCAGCCUCCUGGGAUAACACUGACGUUCAUGCUCGAAAGCGUGGGUAGCAAACAGG
Molecule: ribosomal RNA, 429 nt
Filed under: bacterium
Lineage: Bacteria
Also listed under: 1 other name
Description: partial 16S ribosomal RNA
Rfam family: Bacterial small subunit ribosomal RNA
Source: RNAcentral